This 885-nucleotide ribosomal RNA is filed under the name uncultured bacterium. RNAcentral's name for it is "bacterial SSU rRNA". It matches the Rfam family "Bacterial small subunit ribosomal RNA", at positions 8 to 916 of the family's 1533-position model. The record is from RNAcentral.
AGAGUUUGAUCAUGGCUCAGGACGAACGCUGGCGGCGUGCCUAACACAUGCAAGUCGAACGAAGUAUAUUUUCGGAUAUGCUUAGUGGCGGACGGGUGAGUAACGCGUGAACAAUCUGCCCCAUACAAAGGAAUAGCCUCGGGAAACCGGGAUUAAAACCAUAUGACACUUUAAUACCGCAUGGUACAGAAGUCAAAUUGAAUUAGAGGUAUGGGAUGAGUUCGCGUCUGAUUAGCUAGUUGGUAGGGUAACGGCCUACCAAGGCGACGAUCAGUAGCCGGCCUGAGAGGGUGAACGGCCACACUGGAACUGAGACACGGUCCAGACUCCUACGGGAGGCAGCAGUGGGGAAUAUUGCACAAUGGAGGAAACUCUGAUGCAGCGACGCCGCGUGAGUGAAGAAGGUCUUCGGAUCGUAAAACUCUGUCCUUGGUGAAGAUAAUGACGGUAACCAAGGAGGAAGCCCCGGCUAACUACGUGCCAGCAGCCGCGGUAAUACGUAGGGGGCGAGCGUUGUCCGGAUUUACUGGGCGUAAAGGGUGAGUAGGCGGUUGUAUAUGUCAGGUGUAAAAGGCUAAGGCUUAACCAUAGUUAGCACUUGAAACUGUACAACUUGAGUGCAGGAGAGGUAAGCGGAAUUCCUAGUGUAGCGGUGAAAUGCGUAGAUAUUAGGAGGAACACCAGUGGCGAAGGCGGCUUACUGGACUGUAACUGACGCUGAGUCACGAAAGCGUGGGUAGCAAACAGGAUUAGAUACCCUGGUAGUCCACGCUGUAAACGAUGAGUGCUAGGUGUUGGGUAGCGAUACUCAGUGCCGGAGUAAACACAAUAAGCACUCCGCCUGGGGAGUACGGUCGCAAGACUGAAACUCAAAUGAAUUGACGG